GAACCGCUGAACCCGUCUAAACCCGUUGGAACCGCUUGAACCGAAACCGUCUAAACCCGUUGGAACCGUCUAAGCCCGUGAAGCCCGUUUAACCGGGAAAAAAACGAGCCGUUGCCAACGUUCACCUGCAACUUUCACCUGCAGGCUGCAACUCUGCAACAAGGCUGCUGUACUGCUGUCUCUGAGCUUACUGGCACGGGCAAACAAACGGCUACAAUGCCGUUGGAGACACCGAAGGAGCCGUUGGAGGCUUCCUUAUAAAUACCGUCCCAGGCUCCCAGCUCAGUCACCUCACUGUCUCUGUCUUACUCCAUCUCAUUCUAAAUUCCACUCUCUCAAGCUUAUAAAUACUCUUACUUCAAGUCUGAAUUCAAGCAAGCUGCUCAAGUUUUUCCGGCCUCAAUUCAAGCUUUUCCGGCGUGGUUUUAAUAUUUUCAGUUAAUAUUUUCUGUUGUUAAUUAUGGAAGGUCGAGGUACAAUAUCCUCUCAAGAUUCCACUCAAAGUCCGACCAUGGCGCCGCCCCGACGACCUCCACUCGCACCCGGUCAGGCAACCGGCAAUGACGGCGGCGAAGGUAUGGAUGUAAUGAUGUAUGCUUGAUUUUAUUUUCAAUAAAAUUAUACUUUAAUUAUGUUUUUUUUCAAAUUAAAAUUUUACUUUAAUUCGUAUUUAUUUUAUUUAUAUUACAGUUUUUAAAUAAACUGUUAGUUUUUAAUUUAUAAACUGUUAAUUCGUAUUUAUUUUAAGUAUAUUACAGUUUUUAAUUUAUUUUACUUUAAUUCGUAUUCGUAUUUAUUUUAAGUAUAUUACAGUUUUUAAUUUAUUUUACUUUAAUUCGUAUUCGUAUUUAUUUUAAGUAUAUUACAGUUUCUAAUUAAUGUUCAUUUUUUGUCAUUUAGGUGGCAGUGGGGGUGC
RNAcentral lists this long non-coding RNA (916 nucleotides) under Daucus carota (carrot). RNAcentral describes it as "long non-coding RNA (DCAR_LNC003704)". The record is from RNAcentral. Lineage: Eukaryota; Viridiplantae; Streptophyta; Magnoliopsida; Apiales; Apiaceae.